Molecule: ribosomal RNA, 791 nt
Filed under: Aquimassariosphaeria typhicola
Lineage: Eukaryota; Fungi; Ascomycota; Dothideomycetes; Pleosporales; Lindgomycetaceae
Description: eukaryotic LSU rRNA
Rfam family: Eukaryotic large subunit ribosomal RNA
Source: RNAcentral
AUUGCCCUAGUAACGGCGAGUGAAGCGGCAACAGCUCAAAUUUGAAAUCUGGCUCCUUCUGGGGUCCGAGUUGUAAUUUGUAGAGGGUGCUUUGGCGUCGGCCAUGGUCUAAGUUCCUUGGAACAGGGCGUCACAGAGGGUGAGAAUCCCGUACGUGGCCGCUGGCCUUCGCCAUGUAAAGCCCCUUCGACGAGUCGAGUUGUUUGGGAAUGCAGCUCUAAAUGGGAGGUAAAUUUCUUCUAAAGCUAAAUAUUGGCCAGAGACCGAUAGCGCACAAGUAGAGUGAUCGAAAGAUGAAAAGCACUUUGGAAAGAGAGUCAAAAAGCACGUGAAAUUGUUGAAAGGGAAGCGCUUGCAGCCAGACUUGCCCGUAGUUGCUCAUCCGGGUUUCGGCCCGGUGCACUCUUCUGCGGGCAGGCCAGCAUCAGUUCAGGCGGUCGGAUAAAGGUCCCGGGAAUGUGGCUCUCUUCGGGGAGUGUUAUAGCCCGGGGCGCAAUGCGGCCAGCUUGGACUGAGGUCCGCGCAUCUGCUAGGAUGCUGGCGUAAUGGCUGUAAGCGGCCCGUCUUGAAACACGGACCAAGGAGUCUAACAUCUAUGCGAGUGUUUGGGUGUCAAGCCCGAGCGCGUAAUGAAAGUGAACGGAGGUGGGAACCCGCCAGGCGCACCAUCGACCGAUCCUGAUGUCUUCGGAUGGAUUUGAGUAAGAGCAUAGCUGUUGGGACCCCGAAGAUGGUGAACUAUGCCUGAAUAGGGUGAAGCCAGAGGAAACUCUGGUGGAGGCUCGCAGCGG